This is a long non-coding RNA of Micropterus dolomieu (smallmouth bass), 493 nucleotides long. RefSeq lists it as uncharacterized. The transcript has 2 exons. Lineage: Eukaryota; Metazoa; Chordata; Actinopteri; Centrarchiformes; Centrarchidae. The record is from RefSeq and is a predicted model, not a curated record.
UUCAUUCUUUAAAGUCAGUGUCAGUGAUCACCAGUUAAAGGCAGGGUAGGCAUCAUUUUGAUGGUAAUUUGUUACUUUCAUUGCUAGCAAACGUAGCUACCUAAGCAUAGAGUUAACGGUAGCUACCUACUUAGCAUUCAGCUAACUGUUGCUACGAGUGCAGGCUGGUGUAGGAGCCAGAGUAGAGACGAUGAAUUAUAUCUAGCUGUAGGUGAGCUGGAAAACAGCAGCGCAAGCUGUGUUUUCCGACGCUAACAUUAGGUUAGACAAUGUCACCGGCAGAUUUGGAGUCUUUCAUAGCCCUGUACUUCUCACCAGUAUACGCUGAUUGGCCCAUGUUGGUUGGCCUGGAUUACAACCACCGUGUCCACAGUCCAGCCAGGAGAAAAGCUGAUGACACAGUUCAGUAUGCUGCAUUGAGUCCUCUUAUGCAUUUUACUCAAUACAUUUAUACGUGAUGAGUCAAAAAAUAUUAAACAGUAUGAGGAACACC